This 69-nucleotide transfer RNA is filed under the name Marmota monax (woodchuck). RNAcentral describes it as "tRNA.Ala". Lineage: Eukaryota; Metazoa; Chordata; Mammalia; Rodentia; Sciuridae. The record is from RNAcentral.
GAUUGUGUCUCAGUGGUCGAGUGCUUGCCUUGCAAGUAUGAGGCACUGAGUUCGAUCCCUAGCACAACA